Molecule: ribosomal RNA, 429 nt
Filed under: uncultured bacterium
Lineage: Bacteria
Description: bacterial SSU rRNA
Rfam family: Bacterial small subunit ribosomal RNA
Source: RNAcentral
UGGGGAAUUUUGGACAAUGGGGGCAACCCUGAUCCAGCCAUGCCGCGUGUGUGAAGAAGGCCUUCGGGUUGUAAAGCACUUUCGGCCGGAACGAAAUCGUCCCUGUUAAUAGCAGGGAUGGAUGACGGUACCGGAAGAAGAAGCACCGGCUAACUACGUGCCAGCAGCCGCGGUAAUACGUAGGGUGCGAGCGUUAAUCGGAAUUACUGGGCGUAAAGUGUGCGCAGGCGGCGUCGCAAGUCGAGUGUGAAAGCCCCGAGCUUAACUUGGGAAUUGCGCUCGAAACUACGGUGCUGGAGUAUGGCAGAGGAAGGUGGAAUUCCACGUGUAGCGGUGAAAUGCGUAGAGAUGUGGAGGAACACCGAUGGCGAAGGCAGCCUUCUGGGCCAAUACUGACGCUCAUGCACGAAAGCGUGGGGAGCAAACAGG